GGAGGCAGAGUAAAGCUACCCCAUGUACACCCCAGCCUAGGCCCUGUGCCUGGUCUGUAUUGUGAAUGGGGGAACAUGG
RNAcentral lists this small nucleolar RNA (79 nucleotides) under Microcebus murinus (gray mouse lemur). RNAcentral describes it as "Small nucleolar RNA SNORA51 (ENSMICG00000022176.3)". It matches the Rfam family "Small nucleolar RNA SNORA51", at positions 54 to 133 of the family's 133-position model. Rfam says of the family: ACA51 is a member of the H/ACA class of snoRNA that guide the sites of modification of uridines to pseudouridines. Lineage: Eukaryota; Metazoa; Chordata; Mammalia; Primates; Cheirogaleidae. The record is from RNAcentral.